GGUGCCAGCAGCCGCGGUAAUUCCAGCUCCAAUAGCGUAUAUUAAAGUUGUUGCAGUUAAAAAGCUCGUAGUUGGAUUUCUGUUAAUAAUUUAUAUAAAAUAUUUUGAUGAAUAUUUAUAUAAUAUUAACAUAAUUCAUAUUACUAUUUUUUUUUUAGUAUAUGAAAUUUUACUUUGAGAAAAUUAGAGUGCUUAAAGCAGGCAUAUGCCUUGAAUACUCCAGCAUGGAAUAAUAUUAAAGAUUUUUAUCUUUUUUAUUGGUUCUAAGAUAAGAAUAAUGAUUAAUAGGGACAGUUGGGGGCAUUUGAAUUUAACAGUCAGAGGUGAAAUUCUUAGAUUUGUUAAAGACAAACUAAUGCGAAAGCAUUUGCCAAGGAUGUUUUCAUUAAUCAAGAACGAAAGUUAGGGGAUCGAA
Molecule: ribosomal RNA, 415 nt
Filed under: Cryptosporidium hominis
Lineage: Eukaryota; Apicomplexa; Conoidasida; Eucoccidiorida; Cryptosporidiidae
Description: partial small subunit ribosomal RNA
Rfam family: Eukaryotic small subunit ribosomal RNA
Source: RNAcentral